UUCAUAGGGUAAGAACCAGAUCACCUAAAAAUUACGUUACACAUUACGUGGUUAACAACGAUCUCUGGGGAAUGGGACUGAAGGCGAAGAUGCUAGAAAGAGGGGGGCCACUCAAUUUUUACCAUCAACAUGUCUAUAUUAUUUUUACAAUAAAAACAUGAAUAUAAGUUUAAGAAAUGAAUAUAGAAAUCUCAUCGAAUUAUUUACAAAUGUAUGCAGGAGACAGCUAGGACUAUCUUGUUUCACGAUACUUAGGAAUGGAUUUUGAGCUAUCAAGGGCCCCCACACACUCAUUCUGCUUCUCAGGACUAAUCUGCAAUAGAAGGCUGGAUGAAUUAAGAGUUGGAUCUACAGAAAAUACUUCAAAAAAUCUUGUAUUGUGAUUAUAUUUUCUCGGUAGGACAAAACCUAACAAUGAUCAAUAUAGUAAGAGAGCUGAGACUAAACUAUGCUUCUUCUUCAUGUAAUACAUUAGUGAGAAAGACCCAGAGAGAAGCAAUUUAGCACUGACUUUGGAAGAGACAGUCAACAAAUCGAUGGAGAUAAGGGGUUGUCCUUUUAAUAAACAGAAACGCAUGAAGUCCUUAUCUAGAAAACGAAGCCUCAGAGUUAAACAUGCAAGGAGUGGUGUCCAACGCUCAGUAGGAUUUCUAUAAUUCUGGGCAACAAAUUCUUCUCUAGGCAGGAGUAUUUAGUACAUUUAAAUGUGCAUUUAGCAGCAUCUUAUCGAUUCAGCCAACUUUAACUCAUAACCACACUGAAAUGUGGAAUCUGGAUUUUUUCAUCUAAAUAAUCCAUUUGCUUUUCAUUUACAUUAUUAAGCUGCCUUUGAGUUUCUUUACAUUCUAUACUCCCACUUCUGCUAUUUGAGAUAAAUACCAUUUAAAACACUAAGUUUUUUGUUUUGUGUUUGGGUUUUGUUUGUUUGUAUCCCACUUACUAACAUUGGUAUGGAGACUCUACAAGGGAUACAGGAAAAGCAGAAAUGAAAAUAUUUGCAUUAAAAAAUAAGAUAAAAAAGCAGAAAUGAAAAUAUUUGCAUUAAAAAAUAAGAUCAAUAAGAGAUAGCAGCGACAGGGUUCACAAAAAAGCAUUGCCAACUAUACAGAGCUGUACAAAGCACUUUCACAUCAUUUUAUUUCCUUUUCUGCCACCUUUUGAGACAGAUUCUUACUCAUGUCACAGAUGACAUGAUCAGAGUCCUAACAACUUUCCAAGAUUUUAAUUUUCUGAUUUCUGUGUUCUUCUCUUAAUCAGUGCAACAGAGAUGGAAUGUUGGUGGAGAGGAGCUGCAUUAGAGCUGUCUCAUGUCACAGUGUCACUUCCACCAGAGUCACAAGGCCACCCAAAAUCAAGGGGAAAAGCACUGUCGAAGGAAGGAGUGUCAAAGAAGCUGCAUGUGUGUAACUCAGGAUCACAGCAGAAGCCAUAUGAACAGACAGCGUACUCAAAAUGGUUUAAUGAAGAGACUUUAAUAAAGAUAUUGUUU
This is a long non-coding RNA of Pteropus alecto (black flying fox), 1489 nucleotides long. RefSeq lists it as uncharacterized. The transcript has 3 exons. The record is from RefSeq and is a predicted model, not a curated record. NCBI's taxonomy places the organism in Eukaryota, Metazoa, Chordata, Mammalia, Chiroptera, Pteropodidae.